ACGCCUUGGGAGCUCAUCCCAUCAGGGGGCCUAGCCCUCAUGUGGCCUAGCUUUUUUUUUUGAUUUCUAGGCCAUGCCAUUUUUCUGAUGGCCUAGCUUUAGCUUUGUUUCUAGGCCUCAAGACUAUCAGGCGUAUCACCUCCCAAGGAC
Molecule: non-coding RNA, 150 nt
Organism: Caenorhabditis elegans
Lineage: Eukaryota; Metazoa; Nematoda; Chromadorea; Rhabditida; Rhabditidae
Source: Ensembl